RNAcentral lists this ribosomal RNA (1106 nucleotides) under Sarcogyne regularis. RNAcentral's name for it is "LSU rRNA". It matches the Rfam family "Eukaryotic large subunit ribosomal RNA", at positions 1 to 1131 of the family's 3401-position model. The record is from RNAcentral. Lineage: Eukaryota; Fungi; Ascomycota; Lecanoromycetes; Acarosporales; Acarosporaceae.
GUUGACCUCGGAUCAGGUAGGGAUACCCGCUGAACUUAAGCAUAUCAAUAAGCGGAGGAAAAGAAACCAACAGGGAUUGCCUCAGUAACGGCGAGUGAAGCGGCAACAGCUCAAAUUUGAAAUCUGGCUCUCUUCGGGGCCCGAGUUGUAAUUUGUAGAGGAUGCUUCGGGUACGGCUCCGGUCUAAGUUCCUUGGAACAGGACGUCGCAGAGGGUGAGAAUCCCGUACGUGACCGGCCGCCACGCCCGUGUGAAGCUCCUUCGAUGAGUCGAGUUGUUUGGGAAUGCAGCUCAAAAUGGGUGGUAUAUUUCAUCUAAAGCUAAAUACCGGCCAGAGACCGAUAGCGCACAAGUAGAGUGAUCGAAAGAUGAAAAGCACUUUGAAAAGAGAGUCAAACAGUACGUGAAAUUGUUGAAAGGGAAGCGCUUGCAAUCAGACGUGGCCGCGGGCGAUCAACCGGUACUCGUACCGGUGCACUCGCCCGUGGUCAGGCCAGCAUCGGUUUGGGCGGCUGGAUAAAGUCCCCCGGAAUGUGGCUCCUUUCGGGGAGUGUUAUAGCCGGGGGCGUCAUGCAGCCCGCCCGGACCGAGGACCGCGCUUUGGCUAGGAUGCUGGCGUAAUGGUUGUAAGCGACCCGUCUUGAAACACGGACCAAGGAGUCUAACAUCUAUGCGAGUGUUUGGGUGUCAAACCCAUGCGCGCAAUGAAAGUGAACGGAGGUGGGAACCUCUUCGGGGGUGCACCAUCGACCGAUCCUGAUGUCUUCGGAUGGAUUUGAGUAUGAGCAUAGCUGUUGGGACCCGAAAGAUGGUGAACUAUGCCUGAAUAGGGUGAAGCCAGAGGAAACUCUGGUGGAGGCUCGCAGCGGUUCUGACGUGCAAAUCGAUCGUCAAAUUUGGGUAUAGGACUAAUCGAACCAUAGUAGCUGGUUCUUGCCGAAGUUUCCCUCAGGAUAGCAGUAACGUUUUCAGUUUUAUGAGGUAAAGCGAAUGAUUAGAGUCCUUGGGGCCUUAAAGGCCUUAAACUAUUCUCAAACUUUAAAUAUGUAAGAAGUCCUUGUUACUUUGUUGAACGUGGACAUUUGAAUGCACCGUUACUAGUGGCC